RNAcentral lists this ribosomal RNA (254 nucleotides) under uncultured bacterium. RNAcentral's name for it is "partial 16S ribosomal RNA". It matches the Rfam family "Bacterial small subunit ribosomal RNA", at positions 524 to 776 of the family's 1533-position model. The record is from RNAcentral.
UACGUAGGCAGCGAGCGUUGUUCGGAGUUACUGGGCGUAAAGGGUGUGUAGGCGGUUGUUUAAGUUUGGUGUGAAAUCUCCCGGCUCAACUGGGAGGGUGCGCCGAAUACUGAAUGACUUGGAGUGCGGGAGAGGAGAGUGGAAUUCCUGGUGUAGCGGUGAAAUGCGUAGAUAUCAGGAGGAACACCGGUGGUGUAGACGGCUCUCUGGACCGUAACUGACGCUGAGACGCGAAAGCGUGGGGAGCGAACAGG